This 343-nucleotide ribosomal RNA is filed under the name Boophis madagascariensis (Madagascar bright-eyed frog). Its description in RNAcentral is "partial 16S ribosomal RNA". It matches the Rfam family "Bacterial large subunit ribosomal RNA", at positions 2088 to 2597 of the family's 2925-position model. Lineage: Eukaryota; Metazoa; Chordata; Amphibia; Anura; Mantellidae. The record is from RNAcentral.
ACCCCAUGGAGCUUUAAACCCAACGACACCCGCCCCCCUCCAAAUCCUACUAUUUACCCGGUGAUUGUUUGUUUGGUUUUAGGUUGGGGUGACCGCGGAGUAUAAGAUAUCCUCCAUGAAAAAAGCUAACUGCCCUUAUUAGAGAAAGACACUUCCAAAAAAUAAUAAAUUAAUUUUAAAUGAUCCGACAUUCGAUCAACGAACCAAGUUACCCUGGGGAUAACAGCGCAAUCCGUCCCGAGAGCCCCUAUCGACAGGCGGGUUUACGACCUCGAUGUUGGAUCAGGGUAUCCUAGUGGUGCAGCAGCUACUAAAGGUUCGUUUGUUCAACGAUUAAAACCCU